RNAcentral lists this ribosomal RNA (720 nucleotides) under Saccharata capensis. RNAcentral describes it as "SSU rRNA". It matches the Rfam family "Bacterial small subunit ribosomal RNA", at positions 366 to 1167 of the family's 1533-position model. Lineage: Eukaryota; Fungi; Ascomycota; Dothideomycetes; Botryosphaeriales; Saccharataceae. The record is from RNAcentral.
GGUCAAUGGCCCAACGGCUGAACCAGCAACUUGGGGGAAUGGAUACCGACUCUGUUGGAUAAAGUUCUAGAUAGAAGAAUGAUAAUGACAAUUUUCUAUCUAUAUGUCUUGACCAAAUCUUGUGCCAGCAGUCGCGGUAAUACAAGGGAGACUAGUGUUAUUCAUCUUUAUUAGGUUUAAAGGGUACCUAGACGGUAAAUAAAGCCCCCUAAGGGUACGUAUUUACUAGAGUUUUAUGUGAGAGGAAUAUUUAGUACUAAAGGUGUAGAGAUAAAAUUCUUUGAUACUUUUAAGACGGGUAACGGCGAAGGCAAGCCUCUAUGUAAAAACUGACGUUGAGGGACGAAGGCUUGGGUAGCGAAUAGGAUUAGAUACCCUAGUAGUCCAAGCAGAAAAUUAUGAAUGUCAUAGAUUAGAUUGUGUUUUAAUAUUUGGUCUAUAAAUGAAAGUGUAAGCAUUCCACCUCAAGAGUAAUGUGGCAACACAGGAACUGAAAUCAUUAGACCGUUUCUGAAACCAGUAGUGAAGUAUGUUAUUUAAUUCGAUGAUCCUCGAAAAACCUUACCACUUUUUGAAUGUUAAUUUAAAAAUUAACACAUGCGUUGCAUGGUUGUCUUCAGUAAAUAUCGUGAGAAUUGGUUAGAUCCAAAAAAUUAUCGUAAACCCUUGCUUUUUAUUUAUUUGAAUAAUGCAGUUAACCACUAUAUUGGAUAUUAUAAC